RNAcentral lists this ribosomal RNA (253 nucleotides) under uncultured bacterium. RNAcentral describes it as "partial 16S ribosomal RNA". It matches the Rfam family "Bacterial small subunit ribosomal RNA", at positions 524 to 776 of the family's 1533-position model. The record is from RNAcentral.
UACGUAGGUGGCAAGCGUUGUCCGGAAUUAUUGGGCGUAAAGCGCGCGCAGGCGGUCCCUUAAGUCUGAUGUGAAAGCCCACGGCUCAACCGUGGAGGGUCAUUGGAAACUGGGGGACUUGAGUGCAGGAGAGAAGAGUGGAAUUCCACGUGUAGCGGUGAAAUGCGUAGAGAUGUGGAGGAACACCAGUGGCGAAGGCGACUCUGUGGCCUGUAACUGACGCUGAGGCGCGAAAGCGUGGGGAGCAAACAGG